RNAcentral lists this ribosomal RNA (886 nucleotides) under Acinetobacter sp. NJ2-008. Its description in RNAcentral is "bacterial SSU rRNA". It matches the Rfam family "Bacterial small subunit ribosomal RNA", at positions 35 to 912 of the family's 1533-position model. The record is from RNAcentral. Lineage: Bacteria; Pseudomonadati; Pseudomonadota; Gammaproteobacteria; Moraxellales; Moraxellaceae.
CCUCGGUCGGCAGGCAUUACACAUGCAAGUCGAGCGGAGAGAGGUAGCUUGCUACCGAUCUUAGCGGCGGACGGGUGAGUAAUGCUUAGGAAUCUGCCUAUUAGUGGGGGACAACAUUUCGAAAGGAAUGCUAAUACCGCAUACGUCCUACGGGAGAAAGCAGGGGAUCUUCGGACCUUGCGCUAAUAGAUGAGCCUAAGUCGGAUUAGCUAGUUGGUGGGGUAAAGGCCUACCAAGGCGACGAUCUGUAGCGGGUCUGAGAGGAUGAUCCGCCACACUGGGACUGAGACACGGCCCAGACUCCUACGGGAGGCAGCAGUGGGGAAUAUUGGACAAUGGGCGCAAGCCUGAUCCAGCCAUGCCGCGUGUGUGAAGAAGGCCUUAUGGUUGUAAAGCACUUUAAGCGAGGAGGAGGCUACUUUAGUUAAUACCUAGAGAUAGUGGACGUUACUCGCAGAAUAAGCACCGGCUAACUCUGUGCCAGCAGCCGCGGUAAUACAGAGGGUGCAAGCGUUAAUCGGAUUUACUGGGCGUAAAGCGCGCGUAGGCGGCUAAUUAAGUCAAAUGUGAAAUCCCCGAGCUUAACUUGGGAAUUGCAUUCGAUACUGGUUAGCUAGAGUGUGGGAGAGGAUGGGUAGAAUUCCAGUGUAGCGGUGAAAUGCGUAGAGAUCUGGAGGAAUACCGAUGGCGAAAGGCAGCCAUCUGGGCCUAACACUGACGCUGAGGUGCGAAAGCAUGGGGAGCAAACAGGAUUAGAUACCCUGGUAGUCCAUGCCGUAAACGAUGUCUACUAGCCGUUGGGGCCUUUGAGGCUUUAGUGGCGCAGCUAACGCGAUAAGUAGACCGCCUGGGGGAGUACGGUCGGCAGACUAAACCGAAAAAUGUG